RNAcentral lists this ribosomal RNA (441 nucleotides) under uncultured bacterium. RNAcentral's name for it is "partial 16S ribosomal RNA". It matches the Rfam family "Bacterial small subunit ribosomal RNA", at positions 338 to 795 of the family's 1533-position model. The record is from RNAcentral.
CCUACGGGAGGCAGCAGUGGGGAAUAUUGCACAAUGGGGGAAACCCUGAUGCAGCGACGCCGCGGGAGUGAAGAAGUAUUUCGGUAUGUAAAGCUCUAUCAGCAGGGAAGAAGAAAGACGGUACCUGACUAAGAAGCCCCGGCUAACUACGUGCCAGCAGCCGCGGUAAUACGUAGGGGGCAAGCGUUAUCCGGAUUUACUGGGUGUAAGGGGAGCGUAGACGGCUGUGCAAGUCUGAAGUGAAAGCCCAGGGCUCAACCCUGGGACUGCUUUGGAAACUGUGGAGCUAGAGUGCUGGAGAGGUAAGUGGAAUUCCUAGUGUAGCGGUGAAAUGCGUAGAUAUUAGGAGGAACACCAGUGGCGAAGGCGGCUUACUGGACAGUAACUGACGUUGAGGCUCGAAAGCGUGGGGAGCAAACAGGAUUAGAUACCCCAGUAGUC